This 495-nucleotide ribosomal RNA is filed under the name uncultured bacterium. Its description in RNAcentral is "bacterial SSU rRNA". It matches the Rfam family "Bacterial small subunit ribosomal RNA", at positions 28 to 509 of the family's 1533-position model. The record is from RNAcentral.
GAUGAACGCUAGCUACAGGCUUAACACAUGCAAGUCGCGGGGCAGCAUGUCGGUUGCUUGCAACCGAUGAUGGCGACCGGCGCACGGGUGAGUAACGCGUAUCCAACCUGCCCUUCACCACGGAAUAAUCCAGUGAAAAUUGGUCUAAUACCGUAUGAGGUCAUACGAUGGCAUCAGAAUAUGACGAAAGGUUUAGCGGUGAAGGAUGGGGAUGCGUCUGAUUAGCUUGUUGGUGAGGUAACGGCUCACCAAGGCGACGAUCAGUAGGGGUUCUGAGAGGAAGGUCCCCCCACAUUGGAACUGAGACACGGUCCAAACUCCUACGGGAGGCAGCAGUGAGGAAUAUUGGUCAAUGGGCGCAGGCCUGAACCCAGCCAAGUCGCGUGAGGGAUGACGGUCCUACGGAUUGGUAAACCUCUUUUGUCGGGGAGUAACGUGCGGGACGCGUCCCGUAUUGAGAGUACCCGAAGAAAAGCAAUCGGCUAACUCCGUGCC